RNAcentral lists this ribosomal RNA (440 nucleotides) under uncultured bacterium. RNAcentral's name for it is "partial 16S ribosomal RNA". It matches the Rfam family "Bacterial small subunit ribosomal RNA", at positions 338 to 795 of the family's 1533-position model. The record is from RNAcentral.
CCUACGGGUGGCAGCAGUGGGGAAUAUUGCACAAUGGGGGAAACCCUGAUGCAGCGACGCCGCGUGAGUGAAGAAGUCUUUCGGUUUGUAAAGUUCUGUUAGCAGGGAAGAAAAUGAUGGUACUUGAUCAAGAAGCCCCGGCUAACGACGUCCUAGCAGCCGCGGUAAUACGUAGGGGGCAAGCGUCAUUCGGAUUUACUGGGUGGAAAGGGAGCGUAGUCGGCAGGGCAAGUCUGGAGUGAAAGGCAGGGGCGCAACCGCCGGACUGCUCUGGAAACUGCUAGGCUGGAGUGCAGGAGAGGAAAAUGGAAUUCCUAGUGUAGCGGUGAAAUGCGUAGAUAUUAGGAGGAACACCAGUGGCGAAGGCGGUUCGCUGGACUGUAACUGACGUUGAGGCGCGAAAGCGUGGGGAGCAAACAGGAUUAGAUACCCUGGUAGUC